AAUAAAUCAUUCGGAAGUAAAUUUGGGGUCCAGGUGGUGGUAGACCUUGGCCAAACCCAACAAAUGCCAAUUCAAUACCAUACUCCUCAGCAUCUCCUGGGAAUUAUGUAGGUCCUCCAGGAGGUGGAGGGCCACCAGGAACACCCAUCAUGCCUAGUCCAGCAGAUUCAACCAACUCUGGCGAUAACAUGUAUACUUUAAUGAAUGCAGUACCUCCUGGACCUAACAGACCUAAUUUUCCAAUGGGCCCUGGGUCAGAUGGUCCCAUGGGUGGAUUAGGAGGAAUGGAGUCACAUCACAUGAAUGGCUCUUUAGGCUCAGGAGAUAUGGACAGUAUUUCCAAGAAUUCUCCCAAUAAUAUGAGCCUGAGUAAUCAACCGGGCACUCCAAGGGAUGAUGGCGAAAUGGGGGGAAAUUUCUUAAAUCCUUUUCAGAGUGAGAGUUACUCCCCUAGCAUGACAAUGAGCGUGUGAUCCAUUACCAAGUCUCCUCAUGAAAACCACAGUGAGUCAGCCCUUCACAGAACUACUACGGAAGAAAAUUAUUCAUCACAGUGUACAGUUAAACAAAGGAAUCUCAGUCACACCAAACCAACCUUUUUAUUUCCUGCUCUCUCCCCUCUUUUGUGAAGAAAGCGGGUCCAAACGUGAUUCAAACAACUGUACGGAGUGGCAUAUUAGAAUUGCCCUAAACUGAACUGCAAAUAAUUAUGUGUGUAUGUAUAUGUGUGGGAAAGAGAAUGUACUGUAUAUGUGUAUGUUAUACAGACAUAUGCACAUACAUACAUUGACCCACAGGACAUUGUAAAAUAUUAUCACAUGACAUCUUAAGUAGAAAUAAGUAGGGACUUUUAUUCCAUCCUUUUUUUCACGUUUACAUUUUAAUUAUUACAAGUUGCUCCUGCCCCCUCCCUGAACUAUUUUGUGCUGUGUAUAUCACUGCUUUAUAUAAGUUAUUUUUUAAGGUGAACUCAGAUGUUAUGGUUUUGUAAAUGUCUGCAAUCAUGGAUAGGAAUAAAAUCGCUUAUUUGAGAGCUUUCAUUAAAUUGCGUCUGAUGCAAGUUAUCCUGUGAAUCACAAAGUGUACUGUCUCAAAAAAUAGAAGAAAAUGUGUCUUCGUCUUUAUGUUGAAUCAAACAAUUUCUCAGUUACCUUCAGUGAAAAGUAUUUUUUUAAUUUUUAUUUGAGAAAAACACUUCAAAUCAGUAAAAGCUUAACUGGGGCCUCACACAGUAUAUUUCUGCAAUAACUGCUUUAAACGGAGUUCUUGAUUUGUUUGUCUUAGAUGAUACAGAAAUCAUUAAAUAGCCCAAAUCAUUUAGACCAUAGCAAUAAAGUGACCGGGGUUGUCAUAUUUUUAGCAACAUCUUUUCUCUUUAACAUGAUGAAGCCCAAAAGUGAUAGCAAAAGCAUUUGCUUGAAUUUGUCACUUCUCACCAGGAGUACUAGAGGUAAAUUUUUAAUAACAUACUAAUGUUAAAUGGUAUCUGGUUUUUAUUCAGACUUUUUGUGAGCAUAUUCUUAUAGACACUAGAAAUAAAUACAUAGAAGGAGACUUUGAGCACAAGGGAGAAGAGAGUUAUUAGCACUCCUGAGGCCUCUGGAAUGCUGCUUUUCUAUCCAGGUAUCUUGCUUGCUACCAGCAGAAUUGACUGGUAUUGGUUCUCACUGGCCAGGGAGCCCCUGCUCUGUUCCUGGAAUAUAAGGCUUUUAUUCAGGAGCAAAUCAUUGAUAGUAACUUUGCUUUAUCUAGCCAUUGACUUCAGCAGGCUAAAACUACAUUGUGUAACUGACUGUUCAAAAAAGAAUAAGUAAAUUUUUUUUAAUCUAAUUCCCUUAUGGAAAGCACCUUGCUCUAUGGCACUUUCCAGAUCUUUUGGGAU
Molecule: long non-coding RNA, 1882 nt
Filed under: Pan troglodytes (chimpanzee)
Lineage: Eukaryota; Metazoa; Chordata; Mammalia; Primates; Hominidae
Description: long non-coding RNA NONPTRT013502
Source: RNAcentral